ACUCCUACGGGAGGCAGCAGUGGGGAAUAUUGCACAAUGGGCGCAAGCCUGAUGCAGCCAUGCCGCGUGUAUGAAGAAGGCCUUCGGGUUGUAAAGUACUUUCAGCGGGGAGGAAGGCGAUAAGGUUAAUAACCUUGUUGAUUGACGUUACCCGCAGAAGAAGCACCGGCUAACUCCGUGCCAGCAGCCGCGGUAAUACGGAGGGUGCAAGCGUUAAUCGGAAUUACUGGGCGUAAAGCGCACGCAGGCGGUCUGUCAAGUCGGAUGUGAAAUCCCCGAGCUCAACCUGGGAACUGCAUUCGAAACUGGCAGGCUAGAGUCUUGUAGAGGGGGGUAGAAUUCCAGGUGUAGCGGUGAAAUGCGUAGAGAUCUGGAGGAAUACCGGUGGCGAAGGCGGCCCCCUGGACAAAGACUGACGCUCAGGUGCGAAAGCGUGGGGAGCAAACAGGAUUAGAAACCCCUGUAGUCCCAUGAU
Molecule: ribosomal RNA, 475 nt
Filed under: uncultured organism
Description: partial 16S ribosomal RNA
Rfam family: Bacterial small subunit ribosomal RNA
Source: RNAcentral